GAGAGAGAGAGAGAGAGAGAGAGAGAGAGAACUUUGGGGUCUGUGGUUAUGAGGUUCAAGUGGAUCUGUCUACCCUCAUGGGGAGGGUCAGACUUUUCCAAGACCAGGGAUGCAAAAACUCAUGCUGCCCCCAGACAGUAGGCUGGUGUAGGGUGGGUGGGAGGCCCCAGAGAGCUCCAGGUGGAGGGAGAGAACCCUGUGAAGACUCUGAGGGCUGGGCUGCAGGGAGCAAGAGGUGGGCAGAAGACCAGGGCUGGGGAGGCAGGGAUGCAGACUGAUGUGCUUAGACCUGCAUGUUGGAUCCCUCCCCUUCUCUGCUGGGGGGAAGCCAGGAGGCUACAGCAUUGAGCAGGAGCCCCAGAGAGGUGGAGAGAGUAGAGGGCUCCGGCAGGCAGGCAGGCGGUAUUUAAAAGCUCUGGGCUUUCUCAGGGGAGCGGUUAGCAGGAAGGCAACCCUGGGCCCAUUUGUGCAGCACAGAGGUCCUGAUGCGUUAGUCCGCUGAUGGAAAUUAAUUGUAAAUAUUAUUCAAAUGUACCUCCCUGUGCACAAUUACACUUCUCAGGGGAGUUCUCUGAGUACAUCAGGAAACUCUGUAAACAAUACAUACAUUAGCCUGUGCUGCUGCUGCUGUGGUGGUCGCGGCUGUGAGAUUUACUCCAAGUGUUUGUGCUGGGAAUUAGCCUUGGACAACCCUAGACAGGCCACCCAACUCCUGGCCUAGAUGCCUGGUCACUGGGCAGGUAGGGACACAGAGCUGGCAGGAGAGGAAGACAUGCAGGUCUAGAGAAUGGCCAGCGCCCGAGAGGCUCAGCAGCGGCUGCACCAGCAGUGUGGUUACCUGGCUGUGUUCGAGUCUGGAGCAAGCAUGUCUGUCUGGUGAUCUCGUUGAGUCUUCAUGGAAGCCUUUGUGGUAGGACCCAGCGCCAUGUCUGUAGAUGGGUGAAGAGGUAGAGAGAUUCAGAAAGGUGAGGGUAGUGAGCGCUGAGGGCCAAGCCCGUUGUCUAUCUGUCUGUCUGUCGGAAAGCUCUUGCUUUCCCAAGAAGUUAGUCAGUGUUUGUCUUCUACCCUCACCCCCCACUCCUAAUUCCUGUCACCUUUUGCCUGAGGCAUGUGACGAUGAGUCCAGGGACUGUGCUGUCCAUGAAGGGGAGGGCAUGGUAGCUAUAGGGCUUGCCAGUCAGCUCCUCUCAGCCUUUGGGUUUGGGGGUUUGGAAGAGACACUAUUUCAAGCUCAUCCCUUCUCAUUGCUUCCCAACCUUCCCCUCCCUUUCACAGAUCAUGAAACUGAACAGGAUUGUAGUGGUUUGGGGGACACACCCUCCCACCUCACUGAACAUCCUGCCAUGAGAGAGGUGUCCACCUGCUCCUGAGAGUCAGUUUAAAAUAUCAGCUUAGAUACCCAGGGUUCACCAAGCUGCCCUCUUUACCCCCGAGCUUUGAGUGCCAGCUUUGGCGACCACGUGCCCAGGGUCGAGCAGAAUCCCGGCUGAAGAAGAGGCAGGUCUUAGCAAAACCCAUUUUAGAGCAGAGGCAAGAUACUAAGAUGUCUUCACUAUUGGCCUGGAUGUGGGUCUAGGGGGUGUGUCUGGACCUGGAAAGUACUGACAGGGGCUGUAAUAAACUCUCAAUCUGUCCAUCUGACAGGGGCUGUAAUAAACUCCCAAUCUGUCCGUCUGAGAUGAUGAUGCUCUUUGAAGAAAAUUAAAUAUCUUUUAGAAGCAAAUCAAUCUGUGGUGUCUCCAGAAGUGACCUUCCCUCCAUGUCCCUGAAGACAGCAGUGUGAACAGACGUGGGGCUUUGCAGACAGCAGGGACCCUCCUCCCCCGCCAUCUCUGUGUCUGGUGUUGCUUUACCUAUGUUCUCCUCCCCACCCUCCCCAUGUCACCUUCUGCUGGGCAUGGCAGCUCACCCGUAAUCCUGGGAUCAAAAAGUGGAAACAUGAGAGUUGGGAGUUAGAAGGUAGUCUCAUUGGAAUGAGAUCGCACUUCAAACACUACAGCCCAAACCAAGCAAAUGAGUCACCCCUCAGCCUAGGGACGCCUUCUCCUCUGAGGCUGCCAAUCUGUUCAGGUCACAGACCAGGAUUCUGUUCCAGGCUUGGCAAGCACGAUUGUGACCACAGACUUCCUGUGCUUAUCCUUCUGCUUGGAAGUUGUGAAAGAAUGAGCUGGGCAUCGGGUCUGUGUUGGCCAUGGAUGGUCCUCACACAGGCAGGAGGAUCCCUGACGCCCUGAAACUCUGUAGCCCAGAUGUGCUGGAAGAGACAGACCCAAGGCUUCUCUGUGUCCCGGUUUCCACCACACAGAUGCUUGGCUUCUUACAGCAAGCAUCUAGAUAACGGAGUGAGUUUCUGGUUUGAUUCCAGAUGUUGGGCUGUGGAGCAGGGAGACAGGAAAGGGGCACCCGAGGCUUAAGUGCUUGGCCAAUAGCAUCCGAUGGCUCUCAGUCAGUAGCAGGUGUUGUGUCCAAUUCCAGACAUCCACAUGGUGGGUCACAACUGUUCCUGACUCCAGUUUUUGUGAAUCCUGUCAAGGGUUGGGCAAACACAAGGCUUUCUCGAGGCUCUGGUAUACAGAGAAGGAACCAGGAAUAAACUUGGUGGAGUUGGUAAUGGCCUCGGGCCAGAGCCUGGUGGGAGUUGUGGCUUCUGAUCCUGAAAAAUCAGCUUGUCUGACUACAUGGGUCUAUAAUGUUGAGAUACCUGGUUCCCUUGUGUGACACUGCUGGAUUAACUUCCUGCUGACUUCAUCCUAGUGUAUGAGUUUCUGAUGACUGUCCCAUUUCUCCCCUGGAAACAGCAUCUAAGGCCCUGUACUUAAUAAACUUGCUUGCAUGAGGUAA
Mastomys coucha (southern multimammate mouse) is the source of this 2841-nucleotide long non-coding RNA. RefSeq lists it as uncharacterized. Lineage: Eukaryota; Metazoa; Chordata; Mammalia; Rodentia; Muridae. The record is from RefSeq and is a predicted model, not a curated record. The transcript has 2 exons.